RNAcentral lists this long non-coding RNA (1503 nucleotides) under Bos indicus x Bos taurus (hybrid cattle). RNAcentral's name for it is "lncRNA (ENSBIXG00005018035.1)". The record is from RNAcentral. Lineage: Eukaryota; Metazoa; Chordata; Mammalia; Artiodactyla; Bovidae.
AUGGGCCCCCUGCCCAGCUCCAGCUUCUCCUUCUCUGACAUUGCCCUCAGGGUGAUGACCUCGCCUUCACCACAAGCCUGUUCUCACUCUGUGGGACUCAGAAGACUCCCCUCAACCCCUCAGCCUUUUGGAGCCCACUCCCCCCACCGCUUUCCCACAGACUUCUCUCAGGGUCCCUGUUGCCGCUCUUCUGCAUCUGGGGCACUUGGAGCCCCACAAGGGCAGAGAGCAGCCUGCCCCUCAGGACAGGUCCCCUCAGGACUGGUCCCCUCUCAGGACAGGUCUCCUCUCAGGACUGAUCCCCUCUCAGGCCUGGUCCUCUCAGGCCUGGUCCCCUCUCAGGACUGGUCCCCUCUCAGGACAGGUCUCCUCUCAGGACAGGUCCCCUCUCAGGACUGGGGCCCCUCUCAGGACUGGGGCCCCUCUCAGGACUGGGUCCCCUCUCAGGACAGGUCCCCUCAGGACUGGUCCCCUCUCAGGACAGGUCUCCUCUCAGGACUGGGUCCCCUCUCAGGACAGGUCCCCUCUCAGGACAGGUCUCCUCUCAGGACAGGUCCCCUCUCAGGACUGAUCCCCUCUCAGGACAGGUCCCCUCAGGACAGGUCCCCUCUCAGGACAGGUCCCCUCUCAGGACAGGUCCUCUCAGGACUGGUCCCCUCUCAGGACUGGUCCUCUCUCAGAACAGGUCCCCUCUCAGGACUGAUCCCCUCUCAGGACAGGUCCCCUCAGGACAGGUCCCCUCAGGACAGGUCCCCUCUCAGGACAGGUCCCCUCUCAGGACAGGUCCUCUCAGGACUGGUCCCCUCUCAGGACUGGUCCUCUCUCAGAACAGGUCCCCUCUCAGGACUGAUCCCCUCUCAGGACAGGUCCCCUCAGGACAGGUCCCCUCUCAGGACAGGUCCCCUCUCAGGACAGGUCCUCUCAGGACUGAUCCCCUCUCAGGACAGGUCCCCUCUCAGGACUGGUCCCCUCUCAGGACUGGUCCUCUCUCAGAACAGGUCUCCUCUCAGGACCGAUCCCCUCUCAGAAAUGAUCCCCUCUCAGGACAGGUCUCCUCUCAGGACCGGUCCCCUCUCAGGACUGGUCCCCUCUCAGGACAGGUCCCCUCUCAGGAAUGAUCCUCUCUCAGGACCAGUCCCCUCAGGACAGGUCCCCUCUCAGGACAGGUCUCCUCUCAGGAUAGGUCUCCUCUCAGGAAUGGUCCCCUCUCAUGACAGGUCCCCUCUCAGGACAGGUCCCCUCUCAGGACUGAUCCCCUCUCAGGACAGGUCCCCUCAGGACAGGUCCCCUCUCAGGACAGGUCCCCUCUCAGGACAGGUCCCCUCAGGACAGGUCUCCUCUCAGGACCAUGUCCCCUCUCAGGACAGGUCCUCUCAGGACCAUGUCCCCUCUCAGGACAGGUCUCCUCUCAGGAUAGGUCCCCCUCUCAGGAUAGGUCCCCCUCUCAGGACUGAUCCCCUCUCAGGACUGGUCCUCUCAGGACUUAUCCCCUCUCAGGACUGA